Camellia sinensis is the source of this 500-nucleotide non-coding RNA. The record is from RefSeq and is a predicted model, not a curated record. NCBI's taxonomy places the organism in Eukaryota, Viridiplantae, Streptophyta, Magnoliopsida, Ericales, Theaceae.
UCUUCUUCGACAUUGUUGUGAUGAGAUGAGAGUCUCCAAAGUUCGUCGCUGAUCUUGAGCCAUGUGGAGCCACAAUUCACAGAUCUGGAGCAACUGCUUAUUGAUUUGGAUCCACCAUUUGCCGAUCUGAAGCAAUCAUUCAUCGUUUUUAUACCAUGAUUCGCUGAUCUCAACAAAUUUCAAUGAGCAUGGAUAGUGAAGUGUCCAGUUCUUGUAAAAAAGUAAAGGAGAAAAGUUGAUCCGUCAAAACCAAAGCAAUUGUGGAGCCCAUGAGAAGUGGAAUGUCUUAUUAAUGCCUUGAUGCACAUUGUCAACAAUAGAAUGAAACAGGACAAUGCCUUCAAGGCCAACUACCUUAUGAAAUUAGAGGAGAAAUUGUUGGAGAUGCUACCCGAGACAAACCUUCGUGGCACUCCCCACAUCGAAUCAAAGAUAAAGAUAUGGAAGAAGCACUACAACUGUGUAGCAGGAAUGCUUGGUACUAGUGGUUUUGGAUGGAA